Molecule: long non-coding RNA, 2744 nt
Organism: Choloepus didactylus (southern two-toed sloth)
Lineage: Eukaryota; Metazoa; Chordata; Mammalia; Pilosa; Megalonychidae
Exons: 3
Source: RefSeq, a predicted model, not a curated record
CUGUGAACCGCACAGGGCCCAGAUCCUCCCCUGGGAGGUGCCUUCACGUCCAGCCGCUGAGGGUACGGCUGCUUCUUGCCCUCCCGUCGCCUCUGAAUUCCCAGGAUCUUGCAGAGCAGGGACCUAAGUCUGUCCUCCUUGUCCAGUUUCUUACCUCUGUGGAUGAGCCUCGGCCCGCAGGCCCUACAAGGGGCUCAUAGCUCCCUCCUCCUCCCCCGGUGGAUCCGUCAGGCCUGGCGACAGCUCCUGGGUCCAGCAAGAUGUGGACAAGGAGAAGCUCCCAGGACUUAGCCUGAAGUCCUUUAAGUCGUGAAGGAACAUAGAGGACCCCCACCAAAGCCCCCCACUCCCGGUGUGGGUGAGGGGGCCACCAAGAGAGCCAGUCACAGGGAGGGGAUCUGCCCGAGUAACCCAGGGGUGAGCUCCUGCCGCAGACGCUGUGAAGAGUUGAGUCACCACUGGGUUAACACGUGAUGCUCGAUGGCUCCACAGAAGGACUCGGGACCGAGGGGAGAAACCCCCACCCAGCAAGACCAGGUCAAACCUCCCGGAGCCGCUGAGCCGCACAGAGCCCGGAACCCACCCCCGGCUCCCACUCCCCAGGCCUCUUGCGUUCUCUUCACGUUCACACUCACCGUUCACUCUGCUCAGGAGAGAAAUAAUUUAUAAAGUGGUACCGUUAAUGGUGAGAUGCUGACUGUCCCACAUAGCCUCGAGAGCAAAACGGAGCCACCUCGGGAAGUUUCAUCAGCUGGUGGGACUCUGCCUGGUUCUCAGCUUUCACGAAAUGCUAAAAUCACCCCAGCUCCUCAGAGCGUUAUUUGCAGUUCCAUAUGUUUUAUAUCCUAGCAAUCUAGCAAUUCAUCAAUCUGUUUACAUACUGAUGUUAUACUUAGAUGGAUAUUUAACUUUCCUCAGCCCUGUUGCCUUGCAAAGGAUUUAUAAACGGCUGCUUUGCAGUAAUAGGAUAGAUACUGCACUAAACGGAAAACAGUAAUCAUUUUGUUACAAGUCACGGCCUCCUGCUUUUUGUUUGCACACACGCCCACGGGCUGGCCAUGUCAGGACCCCUGCUGUGGCAGGCUGGUGCUGAGUGUGGAUGUGCUGAACAGCAGCUACAGUUCUGGAUAGAAACAGUCUCACGUAAAAAUGUACAUGAGGCAAACGCACAGCAGUCAACCCAUGCAUAAAAACUGUGCAUUUGCUUCUGACUCCUGUUUUCUACCUGUCUUCUUUUCCACGGUAUAUGUCAUAGUGGUAUUGAAAAUCUGUCCAGAGAGAUCAACAGGCGAUGAAAUAGCUUUUUUUACUGCUUCUCUAGCACCACAGAAUCUUAAAAGUUGGAAGACUUUCUAAAGAUCAUUGGUUCUGGCUUCCAACCCACAAACGGAUGGCCUCUUCCCCAACCUUGACCCGUGGUUGUGCAAGCCUCAGCAUGAACGCUCUGGUGAUGGGAACUCACGUCUGUGCAGACGUAAAUGUCAGGAGGAUCUUCCCACGUCAAGCCAGGUCUACAGUGAAACUCGCCUUCUCCUUUCAACCAGCCCUUGUUUCCUGUUCCCCACUCUCCUGGAACCACUGGCCCCCACUUGGAAACCAGGGCCCUCGCCAUCCCCCAUUCGGGUGGUCACAGCCCGGCGAGUCCAUCCUCCGACUGCCCUCCUGGUGCUGCCCCUGCUCUCCUCUCCUGGCUCAUUGCCAGUCAGCAACCCAGAGCCUCGGCCUCACGGUUCACCCCCGGUCUAAUCCUAGGACCUCACUGUGUGAUGACAUCCUGUCCCGAGAGCAGAGGACAAAGCCACCCACCCCGCCAGGCUCUGGUGAGACUCCCCACUGUGCACCCCGACGGUCCCACUGUGUGCUCCAGCAGUCAGCUCCCUGAACACACAGCAGCAGGGCCCCCUCGGACCACCCGCUCUGAUUCCCCUGGUUUUCUGAGGCUCCAACCCAGGACCCCAUCCUUCCUGACUUCUCUGGCUGAGCUGACCCCGGCCCGGGGCCUGCAUGGAACUGUGUGUCCACACUGAUCACAGUAACCGCUGCUGUCAGUGGCAUUUGUUUAAAUAUUUACCUGCCCACGGGAAUGUGAGCCUGUGAGCUCACCCACAUUUGGAGCCCUGGGGGAUGGCCCAGCGUCUGCCAGGAAGUAGGAGCUGCGUCAGCACCUGUCGGAGACUCAGAAAAAUAGAGUGAUUUGAAUCCUUGCUCUAUGAAUGUCUUCAUGGAAAUAAUGACAGGCUCCUGCCGUGACCAGCCCUGUCGAACCGACAGGUUAACCUGAUGAUGACAGAUGGAGAAAAUCUCCCUCCUCUUCCAGGGCCCCCAGACUCGCAGUCCGGAGUGUCCAUCUGUUACUCGCCUUAAACACACCUAAAGCCAGAUGGAUGCUGAAGAUGCACGUACACGCACACAGAAACUUUACACGAUGCUUAUAGCUCUUGAUGAUUAUACGACCUCCAAAACCAGACACAACUUGAAUGUCCCACAGCUGGUGACGGAACACACCAGCCGUGGUACAGCUGCACAGCGGCUCUGCUCGGCAGUGAAAGGACGAAUCGCCAGUGCAGCAAUCCACCAACCCGAGAGCCUGCAGGCUGCACGGUGCAUUUGUGUGACGCUCGGGAAACGGGUCCCUGGGGCGGGGGGCUGCGGCCACGCACAGCAUUGGGGAGGUGAAGGAACGGUUCUAUGUGAUGGCUGUGGUGGCGGCGACACAAAACUGUGUUUGCCAAAACUCAUGGAAC